AAGCGGGCAUAGAAGGGCCAACUUCCGGGUUUGUUUUAACCUCUCCGUUGAAUAGCGCCCGGUGCAUCUUUCUCAGCCAUCCAGCUGCACUUCCUGCCAUUCAUGAAUGUUCCCCUUGUCAUGGCCGGAAUCACUGGGUUGCGCUCCUUACCCAAGAUUCCACUUGGUUUGGCUCCCCGUCCUUCCUGGCCUUCAGUGGUGGCCGAAACAUUGUGCAGAAGUGCUGUGAAAGAAAGAGAAGAGCAUUUCCUCUGAAGUCUUGACCCCUUCCUUCUCUGCAGAGAUAUACUGCUCCUGCCUUUCACUUCUUACCCAAGACUGAAGAGAGCUUUCCGAAGAGGUCUUCAACUGGCCCAGAGCACUAGUGAAGAUAGCCAUGAUAAAGGGUCACACCUCCUUGUCAAAUGUAUGUAGCCAUGAUAAAGGGUCACACCUCCUUGUCAAAUGUAUGUAUUUCUAAAGGACAUAAAGAAGGCUACACAUCUGCCAGCAGAAGAUCUUUUGUUUUUUCCCCACGGAUUUGCAUGGUUUCAACUCUGGUGCUAACCAGAUUCAUUGGGGGAGCCAACAUGUGUAGGGUGAAGGCAGUGGCAGCCUUUCCCUUCAAUCCCCAGCAGCUGGGGAUUCAGGAGUCCACUACAGUGUUCCCUCACUUAUCGCGAGGGUUAUGUUCCAGGACCACCCACGAAAAGUGAAAAUCCGCAAAGGAGGGACACUAUAUUUGUGUUGUUUACAAUCUCACUGGCAAGUAAGAUUGACAUCCGGCAGGCUCCAUCCCUUUUGAGUUUUAGAAAGAAAGUGAAGACCUGGCUAUGUGAGCAAGCAUUCAAAGAAUAGGUUUCGUUGGCUUUGACUCGGUCUGGACAAUGUUUUGUGGAUGAAUGGCUUAAGUAUUUUGUAUUAUUUUAAAUCUAUAUUUAAUUGCUUUUUGUAUUGUUGUGUAUUGGCAUUGAAUUCUGCCAGUUUUGUAAGCCGCCCUGAGUCCCUUCGGGUGAAAAGAGCGGGAUAGAAAUAAUGGGAAUAAAUAAAUAAAUAGCA
Molecule: long non-coding RNA, 1038 nt
Organism: Anolis carolinensis (green anole)
Lineage: Eukaryota; Metazoa; Chordata; Lepidosauria; Squamata; Anolidae
Exons: 2
Source: RefSeq, a predicted model, not a curated record